Molecule: ribosomal RNA, 464 nt
Filed under: uncultured bacterium
Lineage: Bacteria
Description: partial 16S ribosomal RNA
Rfam family: Bacterial small subunit ribosomal RNA
Source: RNAcentral
ACGAACGCUGGCGGCGUGCUUCACACAUGCAAGUCGAACGGAAAGGCCCCUUUGGGGGUACUCGAGUGGCGAACGGGUGAGUAACACGUGAGUAACCUGCCCUUGACUUCGGGAUAACUUCAGGAAAUUGGGGCUAAUACCGGAUAGGAAUCCUUGCUGCAUGGUGGGGGUUGGAAAGCUUCGGCGGUUUUGGAUGGACUCGCGGCUUAUCAGCUUGUUGGUGGGGUAGUGGCUUACCAAGGCUUUGACGGGUAGCCGGCCUGAGAGGGCGACCGGCCACAUUGGGACUGAGAUACGGCCCAGACUCCUACGGGAGGCAGCAGUGGGGAAUAUUGCACAAUGGGCGGAAGCCUGAUGCAGCAACGCCGCGUGCGGGAUGACGGCCUUCGGGUUGUAAACCGCUUUCAGCAGGGGCGAAGCUUGUGGUGACGGUACCUGCAGAAGAAGCACCGGCUAACUACGUG